Molecule: ribosomal RNA, 253 nt
Filed under: uncultured bacterium
Lineage: Bacteria
Description: partial 16S ribosomal RNA
Rfam family: Bacterial small subunit ribosomal RNA
Source: RNAcentral
UACGAAGGGUGCAAGCGUUACUCGGAAUUACUGGGCGUAAAGAGUGCGUAGGUGGUUGUUUAAGUCUGUUGUGAAAGCCCUGGGCUCAACCUGGGAAUUGCAGUGGAUACUGGGCGACUAGAGUGUGGUAGAGGGUAGUGGAAUUCCCGGUGUAGCAGUGAAAUGCGUAGAGAUCGGGAGGAACAUCCAUGGCGAAGGCAGCUACCUGGACCAACACUGACACUGAGGCACGAAAGCGUGGGGACCAAACAGG